AAUUCGGCGUUGAUGAGAAGAGUAAUUAAGAAGCGGAUAUUAACAGAGAGCUCCUGUCUGCUGAAAGGGAGUACUAUUCCUCUUAAUGAACAAAGCCUCGGAGCUUCUUGCCAAUCUGGGGAAAAUCAGGGAUAGCAAGACGGGUUCUUCCGAUAAAAAGAUAGGGUAUGAAUGUACCCGAAGAGGUUGAUAUGGCGACGUAUCAACAAACUGGGGUGGUACCACGAAGCGACAACUCUCGUCCUCAAG
Molecule: non-coding RNA, 249 nt
Filed under: Sediminibacillus halophilus
Lineage: Bacteria; Bacillati; Bacillota; Bacilli; Caryophanales; Bacillaceae
Description: T-box sequence
Rfam family: T-box leader
About the family: Uncharged tRNA acts as the effector for transcription antitermination of genes in the T-box leader family. T-boxes are found upstream of many aminoacyl-tRNA synthetase genes and some amino acid biosynthetic genes usually in Gram-positive bacteria.
Source: RNAcentral